This 76-nucleotide transfer RNA is filed under the name Brucella vulpis. RNAcentral's name for it is "tRNA-Asp". It matches the Rfam family "tRNA". From Rfam's summary of the family: Transfer RNA (tRNA) molecules are approximately 80 nucleotides in length. Lineage: Bacteria; Pseudomonadati; Pseudomonadota; Alphaproteobacteria; Hyphomicrobiales; Brucellaceae. The record is from RNAcentral. RNAcentral also lists the same sequence under 3 other names.
GCGGGUGUAGCUCAGUUGGUUAGAGUGCCGGCCUGUCACGCCGGAGGUCGCGGGUUCGAGCCCCGUCACUCGCGCC